GGAUUAUGUUUAAAAUCAAAUGAUUUGGCGGUAUUCUAUCUUUAUAGAGGAACUUGGGCAGUAAUCGAUAAUCCUCGUUUUAUCUUACCUAGAUUAAUGUUUGUAUAUCGUUGUUGUCAGAUUACUUUUGAUAAUCUAUAAGUUUUCUCUUUUGAUUUUAUGUGUUAUUUAAUUGACUUAAUAGUCAUGACUUCAAAUCAAGGUGCAGUAAAUGUCUAUGGUUGUACUGAGUUACUUUUAGUAAGAAGUUGAUAAUGAGUUGAAAAUUUAUUUGACAUUGGAUUUAUAAGUAAAUUUUUAUUAAUAAGAUAAGUUGAAAGGAGGUCUGGAAUAUGUACAAAUCGCCCGUCACUCUGGUUUUAAUAUCAGAUAAGUCGUAACAAAGUAGAUGUAAGGGAACUUGUAUCUAGAUGA
This 414-nucleotide ribosomal RNA is filed under the name Leiobunum veracruzensis. Its description in RNAcentral is "12S ribosomal RNA". The record is from RNAcentral. Lineage: Eukaryota; Metazoa; Arthropoda; Arachnida; Opiliones; Sclerosomatidae.